Molecule: long non-coding RNA, 643 nt
Organism: Xiphophorus maculatus (southern platyfish)
Lineage: Eukaryota; Metazoa; Chordata; Actinopteri; Cyprinodontiformes; Poeciliidae
Exons: 6
Source: RefSeq, a predicted model, not a curated record
ACAGAAGAAGAGCUGAGUCGCUAACAACAUUAGCUAUUUUGCUGCUACUAAUAAUUUAGGAGAAAAUAAUUUGCUGUAAGCUGAAUAGGUGAGUGUUUGCAGUGAGAAUGUCUUCAGUGUGAGAGUUUAUCAGCGAGCAGUUAACUCCAGAUGAAGAAACAUUCACAGAGUUUGAAGAAGUGGAUGAAAAGAGCAGACUGCUGGAUUUCACCUGGACAUCCCAAAUCAUCGUACGACGAAUAGAUAUUUUGCAGCAUGACGUCAAAGAGGAAGAGACUCUUUAUGGCCAAGAGAGCAAAUCCGGUUUGGACCAGGGCCAACCAGAACCUCUGCAGAGAACAGAAGAGCGGGAGGAGUUGGAAAAUCAACAGCCUGAAUAUCAACAGGGCUGCAUUAUUAAUGGCGUUCCGGUGGUAGCGUUACCUGGGCGUGUGGUUGUUCGACGCCGCAGCUGCAUCCAGACACUCCUGAACUUUUCCUGCCAAGCAACUAGGCAUCUUUAUAGUAGAGAACCUCUGGGGUUCGCAGUGGAGCGGAGACGCACGUAGUGUAAAUCAGGAGAAUCAGGCAGCAGAAUUGCUUCCUUCCUCAACCUGGUUCUCAUCUUUUGGAAAAGCUUGAGAGACGAGUUGGUUCCGGUUUG